This 2904-nucleotide ribosomal RNA is filed under the name Escherichia coli. RNAcentral's name for it is "23S ribosomal RNA". It matches the Rfam family "Bacterial large subunit ribosomal RNA". The record is from RNAcentral. Lineage: Bacteria; Pseudomonadati; Pseudomonadota; Gammaproteobacteria; Enterobacterales; Enterobacteriaceae.
GGUUAAGCGACUAAGCGUACACGGUGGAUGCCCUGGCAGUCAGAGGCGAUGAAGGACGUGCUAAUCUGCGAUAAGCGUCGGUAAGGUGAUAUGAACCGUUAUAACCGGCGAUUUCCGAAUGGGGAAACCCAGUGUGUUUCGACACACUAUCAUUAACUGAAUCCAUAGGUUAAUGAGGCGAACCGGGGGAACUGAAACAUCUAAGUACCCCGAGGAAAAGAAAUCAACCGAGAUUCCCCCAGUAGCGGCGAGCGAACGGGGAGCAGCCCAGAGCCUGAAUCAGUGUGUGUGUUAGUGGAAGCGUCUGGAAAGGCGCGCGAUACAGGGUGACAGCCCCGUACACAAAAAUGCACAUGCUGUGAGCUCGAUGAGUAGGGCGGGACACGUGGUAUCCUGUCUGAAUAUGGGGGGACCAUCCUCCAAGGCUAAAUACUCCUGACUGACCGAUAGUGAACCAGUACCGUGAGGGAAAGGCGAAAAGAACCCCGGCGAGGGGAGUGAAAAAGAACCUGAAACCGUGUACGUACAAGCAGUGGGAGCACGCUUAGGCGUGUGACUGCGUACCUUUUGUAUAAUGGGUCAGCGACUUAUAUUCUGUAGCAAGGUUAACCGAAUAGGGGAGCCGAAGGGAAACCGAGUCUUAACUGGGCGUUAAGUUGCAGGGUAUAGACCCGAAACCCGGUGAUCUAGCCAUGGGCAGGUUGAAGGUUGGGUAACACUAACUGGAGGACCGAACCGACUAAUGUUGAAAAAUUAGCGGAUGACUUGUGGCUGGGGGUGAAAGGCCAAUCAAACCGGGAGAUAGCUGGUUCUCCCCGAAAGCUAUUUAGGUAGCGCCUCGUGAAUUCAUCUCCGGGGGUAGAGCACUGUUUCGGCAAGGGGGUCAUCCCGACUUACCAACCCGAUGCAAACUGCGAAUACCGGAGAAUGUUAUCACGGGAGACACACGGCGGGUGCUAACGUCCGUCGUGAAGAGGGAAACAACCCAGACCGCCAGCUAAGGUCCCAAAGUCAUGGUUAAGUGGGAAACGAUGUGGGAAGGCCCAGACAGCCAGGAUGUUGGCUUAGAAGCAGCCAUCAUUUAAAGAAAGCGUAAUAGCUCACUGGUCGAGUCGGCCUGCGCGGAAGAUGUAACGGGGCUAAACCAUGCACCGAAGCUGCGGCAGCGACGCUUAUGCGUUGUUGGGUAGGGGAGCGUUCUGUAAGCCUGUGAAGGUGUGCUGUGAGGCAUGCUGGAGGUAUCAGAAGUGCGAAUGCUGACAUAAGUAACGAUAAAGCGGGUGAAAAGCCCGCUCGCCGGAAGACCAAGGGUUCCUGUCCAACGUUAAUCGGGGCAGGGUGAGUCGACCCCUAAGGCGAGGCCGAAAGGCGUAGUCGAUGGGAAACAGGUUAAUAUUCCUGUACUUGGUGUUACUGCGAAGGGGGGACGGAGAAGGCUAUGUUGACCGGGCGACGGUUGUCCCGGUUUAAGCGUGUAGGCUGGUUUUCCAGGCAAAUCCGGAAAAUCAAGGCUGAGGCGUGAUGACGAGGCACUACGGUGCUGAAGCAACAAAUGCCCUGCUUCCAGGAAAAGCCUCUAAGCAUCAGGUAACAUCAAAUCGUACCCCAAACCGACACAGGUGGUCAGGUAGAGAAUACCAAGGCGCUUGAGAGAACUCGGGUGAAGGAACUAGGCAAAAUGGUGCCGUAACUUCGGGAGAAGGCACGCUGAUAUGUAGGUGAAGUCCCUCGCGGAUGGAGCUGAAAUCAGUCGAAGAUACCAGCUGGCUGCAACUGUUUAUUAAAAACACAGCACUGUGCAAACACGAAAGUGGACGUAUACGGUGUGACGCCUGCCCGGUGCCGGAAGGUUAAUUGAUGGGGUCAGCGCAAGCGAAGCUCUUGAUCGAAGCCCCGGUAAACGGCGGCCGUAACUAUAACGGUCCUAAGGUAGCGAAAUUCCUUGUCGGGUAAGUUCCGACCUGCACGAAUGGCGUAAUGAUGGCCAGGCUGUCUCCACCCGAGACUCAGUGAAAUUGAACUCGCUGUGAAGAUGCAGUGUACCCGCGGCAAGACGGAAAGACCCCGUGAACCUUUACUAUAGCUUGACACUGAACAUUGAGCCUUGAUGUGUAGGAUAGGUGGGAGGCUUAGAAGUGUGGACGCCAGUCUGCAUGGAGCCGACCUUGAAAUACCACCCUUUAAUGUUUGAUGUUCUAACGUUGACCCCUAAUCGGGGUUGCGGACAGUGUCUGGUGGGUAGUUUGACUGGGGCGGUCUCCUCCUAAAGAGUAACGGAGGAGCACGAAGGUUGGCUAAUCCUGGUCGGACAUCAGGAGGUUAGUGCAAUGGCAUAAGCCAGCUUGACUGCGAGCGUGACGGCGCGAGCAGGUGCGAAAGCAGGUCAUAGUGAUCCGGUGGUUCUGAAUGGAAGGGCCAUCGCUCAACGGAUAAAAGGUACUCCGGGGAUAACAGGCUGAUACCGCCCAAGAGUUCAUAUCGACGGCGGUGUUUGGCACCUCGAUGUCGGCUCAUCACAUCCUGGGGCUGAAGUAGGUCCCAAGGGUAUGGCUGUUCGCCAUUUAAAGUGGUACGCGAGCUGGGUUUAGAACGUCGUGAGACAGUUCGGUCCCUAUCUGCCGUGGGCGCUGGAGAACUGAGGGGGGCUGCUCCUAGUACGAGAGGACCGGAGUGGACGCAUCACUGGUGUUCGGGUUGUCAUGCCAAUGGCACUGCCCGGUAGCUAAAUGCGGAAGAGAUAAGUGCUGAAAGCAUCUAAGCACGAAACUUGCCCCGAGAUGAGUUCUCCCUGACUCCUUGAGAGUCCUGAAGGAACGUUGAAGACGACGACGUUGAUAGGCCGGGUGUGUAAGCGCAGCGAUGCGUUGAGCUAACCGGUACUAAUGAACCGUGAGGCUUAACCUU